Molecule: ribosomal RNA, 468 nt
Filed under: uncultured bacterium
Lineage: Bacteria
Description: partial 16S ribosomal RNA
Rfam family: Bacterial small subunit ribosomal RNA
Source: RNAcentral
GACGAACGCUGGCGGCGUGCUUAACACAUGCAAGUCGAACGGAAAGACCCUGCUUUUGUGGGGCGCUCGUGUGCCGAACGCGUGAGUAACACGCGUGUAACCUGCCCUUGACUUUGGGAUAACUUCUGGAAACUGCGGCUAUUACCGGAUAGGAGAUCCUGCUGCAUGGUGGUGGUUGGAAAGUUUCGGCGGUUGGGGAUGGUCUCGCAGCUUAUCAGCUUGUUGGUGGGGUAGUGGCUUACCAAGCCUUUGACGGGUAGCCGGCCUGAGAGGGUGACCGGCGACAUUGGGACUGAGAGACGGCGCAGACUCGUACGGUAGGCAGCAGUGGGGAAUAUUGCACAAUGGGCGGGAGUGUGAUGCAGCAACGCCGCGUGCGGGGUGACGGCUUUCGAGGUGUAAACCGCUGUCGCCGGUGACGAAGCGAGAGUGACGGUAAUGGGUAAAGAAGCAACGGCUAACUACGUG